UCCGGCGUAGGGUAAUUGGCAGCCCCCGGCACUUUGGAUGCCGUAUGUCCUGGUUCGAGUCCAGGCGCCGGAAC
RNAcentral lists this transfer RNA (74 nucleotides) under Microtetraspora sp. NBRC 16547. RNAcentral describes it as "tRNA-Gln". It matches the Rfam family "tRNA". Rfam says of the family: Transfer RNA (tRNA) molecules are approximately 80 nucleotides in length. Their secondary structure includes four short double-helical elements and three loops (D, anti-codon, and T loops). The record is from RNAcentral. Lineage: Bacteria; Bacillati; Actinomycetota; Actinomycetes; Streptosporangiales; Streptosporangiaceae.